UACGUAGGUGGCAAGCGUUAUCCGGAUUUACUGGGCGUAAAGGGAACGCAGGCGGUCUUUUAAGUCUGAUGUGAAAGCCUUCGGCUUAACCGGAGUAGUGCAUUGGAAACUGGGAGACUUGAGUGCAGAAGAGGAGAGUGGAACUCCAUGUGUAGCGGUGAAAUGCGUAGAUAUAUGGAAGAACACUAGUGGCGAAAGCGGCUCCCUGGUCUGUAACUGACGCUGAGGUUCGAAAGCGUGGGUAGCAAACAGG
This 253-nucleotide ribosomal RNA is filed under the name uncultured bacterium. RNAcentral describes it as "partial 16S ribosomal RNA". It matches the Rfam family "Bacterial small subunit ribosomal RNA", at positions 524 to 776 of the family's 1533-position model. The record is from RNAcentral.